UUUUGCUCACAAGUGCUAAAAAAUGUUCAUAACUACGUGUUGGUUACACAAUGUAAAUGUUGCAAAUCUCGUGAGUGUGGCUGUUAGGCUGAAGGAGCUAUGGUACCCAUCACAAUGUACCUUUUUUUCAUAUUACAUCACUAUUCAGAGUUGAGAUGAAAUGCAUAAUUAUAAGGUGUAAUUAGAUUUUUUUGCACAACUUCACUACUCUGUGUUGUUGUAUCAUAUUGAGUCACUUGUAGCAGCAGUUCAUGACCAGCAGAACGUGUAUAGCUGCAGUUAGUCAGUCCUUGUACUACUACUUGUAUACUGUAAUAACUCCACACAUGAAUGUAUGAAAUAUGUAUGAAUUAAGCUUUCCAGUUUUCAGUUCCUCUCAGUUUAACUAACAAAAUCGUCUUAAUUAGUUUCACUUUAGCUACCCGCUGAUGCAUAUACCCUUUUAAUUUGCACAGACUUUAUUCAUGUUUCGUCCUGAGCUCCAGGAUGAAGAAGUUGGAAAAAUAAAUGCAUGCUGGAUCUAGGGAAGUGCAGGACUUUGUUGUAAUGCCAUUUUUUCUUGGAAUUUUGUUUACUGGUGAUUUUGCUGAGAAUUUGGUGUAUAUUUACUUGCCACUAUGUUUACUUUCAAUUUAUUUUUGGAUUGUAAAACAUAUUGGCUUCGAAUCUGGACUGAAUGUAUAUCUAUGAUGUAAAUAUUAUUUGACAUGAAGAGGCACAACCCAAAUCAAGAAGUGGAUGAAAUGUGUCACACCCUGUUUUUGCUAUCACUUAUCUGUAUUGUGAAA
RNAcentral lists this long non-coding RNA (788 nucleotides) under Hordeum vulgare. Its description in RNAcentral is "long non-coding RNA (HVUL_LNC015999)". The record is from RNAcentral. Lineage: Eukaryota; Viridiplantae; Streptophyta; Magnoliopsida; Poales; Poaceae.